Molecule: small RNA, 126 nt
Filed under: Marmota monax (woodchuck)
Lineage: Eukaryota; Metazoa; Chordata; Mammalia; Rodentia; Sciuridae
Source: RNAcentral
GUCGGGUGUGGUGGCACACCCCUGUAAUCCCAGCAGCUUGGGAGGCUGAGACAGGAGGAUUUUGAGUUCAAAGCCAGCCUCAACAACUUAGUGAGGCCUAAGCAACUUAGUGAGACCCUGUCUCUA